UCCCUGAUGGCUCAGACGGUAAAGCGUCUGCCUGCAAUGCGGGAGGCCCAGGUUCGAUCCCUGGGUUGGAAA
RNAcentral lists this transfer RNA (72 nucleotides) under Bos taurus (domestic cattle). It matches the Rfam family "tRNA". From Rfam's summary of the family: Transfer RNA (tRNA) molecules are approximately 80 nucleotides in length. Their secondary structure includes four short double-helical elements and three loops (D, anti-codon, and T loops). RNAcentral also lists the same sequence under 4 other names. The record is from Rfam by way of RNAcentral. Lineage: Eukaryota; Metazoa; Chordata; Mammalia; Artiodactyla; Bovidae.